CUUGCUACUUGCUGACGACCGGCGCACGGGUGCGUAACGCGUAUACAAUCUGCCUUAUACAGAGGGAUAGCCUUUAGAAAUGAAGAUUAAUACCUCAUGGUCUAUUAAUAUAGCAUUAUAUAAAUAGUAAAGCUUCGGCGGUAUAAGAUGAGUAUGCGUCCUAUUAGUUAGUUGGUAAGGUAACGGCUUACCAAGACAACGAUAGGUAGGGGCCCUGAGAGGGGGAUCCCCCACACUGGUACUGAGACACGGACCAGACUCCUACGGGAGGCAGCAGUGAGGAAUAUUGGACAAUGGAGGUAACUCUGAUCCAGCCAUGCCGCGUGCAGGAAGACGGCCCUAUGGGUUGUAAACUGCUUUUAUAUAGGAAGAAACCUUUUCACGUGUGAGAAGCUGACGGUACUAUAAGAAUAAGGACCGGCUAACUCCGUGCCAGCAGCCGCGGUAAUACGGAGGGUCCGAGCGUUAUCCGGAAUCAUUGGG
Molecule: ribosomal RNA, 483 nt
Filed under: uncultured Bacteroidota bacterium
Lineage: Bacteria; Pseudomonadati; Bacteroidota
Description: bacterial SSU rRNA
Rfam family: Bacterial small subunit ribosomal RNA
Source: RNAcentral